UGCAGUCGAGCGAAUGGAUUAAGAGCUUGCUCUUAUGAAGUUAGCGGCGGACGGGUGAGUAACACGUGGGUAACCUGCCCAUAAGACUGGGAUAACUCCGGGAAACCGGGGCUAAUACCGGAUAACAUUUUGAACCGCAUGGUUCGAAAUUGAAAGGCGGCUUCGGCUGUCACUUAUGGAUGGACCCGCGUCGCAUUAGCUAGUUGGUGAGGUAACGGCUCACCAAGGCAACGAUGCGUAGCCGACCUGAGAGGGUGAUCGGCCACACUGGGACUGAGACACGGCCCAGACUCCUACGGGAGGCAGCAGUAGGGAAUCUUCCGCAAUGGACGAAAGUCUGACGGAGCAACGCCGCGUGAGUGAUGAAGGCUUUCGGGUCGUAAAACUCUGUUGUUAGGGAAGAACAAGUGCUAGUUGAAUAAGCUGGCACCUUGACGGUACCUAACCAGAAAGCCACGGCUAACUACGUGCCAGCAGCCGCGGUAAUACGUAGGUGGCAAGCGUUAUCCGGAAUUAUUGGGCGUAAAGCGCGCGCAGGUGGUUUCUUAAGUCUGAUGUGAAAGCCCACGGCUCAACCGUGGAGGGUCAUUGGAAACUGGGAGACUUGAGUGCAGAAGAGGAGAGUGGAAUUCCAUGUGUA
Molecule: ribosomal RNA, 640 nt
Filed under: Bacillus sp. CSu4_18
Lineage: Bacteria; Bacillati; Bacillota; Bacilli; Caryophanales; Bacillaceae
Description: bacterial SSU rRNA
Rfam family: Bacterial small subunit ribosomal RNA
Source: RNAcentral